RNAcentral lists this long non-coding RNA (287 nucleotides) under Phoenix dactylifera (date palm). Its description in RNAcentral is "long non-coding RNA (PDAC_LNC009465)". The record is from RNAcentral. Lineage: Eukaryota; Viridiplantae; Streptophyta; Magnoliopsida; Arecales; Arecaceae.
GCUGUUGGAAGUAGAGCUGUCUGAAGUAGAGCUGUUAUAAAAAUCUAUUUGCUGUUUGGUAACUACAUUCGUAAAGUGCUGUUGUACUUUAUUUUGUGUUUGGUAAACAAACUGAGAAAGUACUUUUGUAUGACAAAAUUACCAUAAAGGACAUUGCAUAGUAUUAUACAACAGAACAUAAUAAAACAUAACAUAAAUUAAUACAUAAAUAUACGAUAUAGUAUAAUAUUAUUGUAAUAUAAAAUAAUAUUAUGUUAAUAUAGCAUAAUAGUAAUAUAAUUAUUAGA